ACCCUGAUCCAGCAAUGCCGCGUGUGGGAUGAAGGCCCUCGGGUUGUAAACCACUUUUGGCAGGAAAGAAAUCGCCUGUGCUAAUACCACGGGCGGAUGACGGUACCUGCAGAAUAAGCACCGGCUAACUACGUGCCAGCAGCCGCGGUAAUACGUAGGGUGCGAGCGUUAAUCGGAAUUACUGGGCGUAAAGAGUGCGUAGGCGGUUUUGUAAGACAGAUGUGAAAUCCCCGGGCUUAACCUGGGAACUGCAUUUGUGACUGCAAGACUAGAGUGUGUCAGAGGGAGGUGGAAUUCCGCGUGUAGCAGUGAAAUGCGUAGAGAUGCGGAAGAACACCGAUGGCGAAGGCAGCCUCCUGGGAUAACACUGACGCUCAGGCACGAAAGCGUGGGGAGCAAACAGGAUUAGAUACCCUGGUAGUCCACGCCCUAAACGAUGUCAACUGGUUGUUGGGGAUUCAUUUCCUUAGUAACGUAGCUAACGCGUGAAGUUGACCGCCUGGGGAGUACGGCCGCAAGGUUAAAACUCAAAGGAAUUGACGGA
RNAcentral lists this ribosomal RNA (544 nucleotides) under uncultured bacterium. Its description in RNAcentral is "bacterial SSU rRNA". It matches the Rfam family "Bacterial small subunit ribosomal RNA", at positions 380 to 917 of the family's 1533-position model. The record is from RNAcentral.